Molecule: unclassified non-coding RNA, 324 nt
Filed under: uncultured bacterium
Lineage: Bacteria
Description: contains 16S-23S intergenic spacer region
Source: RNAcentral
UCCGGCUUAUCACCGGCAGUCCCUCUAGAGUGCCCAACUGAAUGAUGGCAACUAGAAGCGAGGGUUGCGCUCGUUGCGGGACUUAACCCAACAUCUCACGACACGAGCUGACGGCAGCCAUGCAGCAUCUGUGCACGGACCCGAAGGAGACCGGCUUUCACCGGCUGUCCCGUGCAUGUCAAGCCCUGGUAAGGUUCUUCGCGUAGCUUCGAAUUAAACCGCACGCUCCGCUGCUUGUGCGGGCCCCCGUCAAUUCCUUUGAGUUUUAGCCUUGCGGCCGUAGUCCCCAGGCACCUAGUACCCAUCGUUUACGGCGUGGACUAC